This is a non-coding RNA of Mesocricetus auratus (golden hamster), 132 nucleotides long. Lineage: Eukaryota; Metazoa; Chordata; Mammalia; Rodentia; Cricetidae. The record is from Rfam.
UCAAACCAAAAUAAGGUCAUAAGGUGUUCUUCCUAGGGACCUAAUAUGCUGUGGCUAUAAACAUCAGCAACCCUGGGGGUGUAUUCAACCUCUUGCUUAAAUGGGUUUCCCUAAGCAAACUUGAAGACAAUU